GCGCCGCCCAAGCCCCGCCCCUGCGUCUAGGGUGGGUGCCACGUGGCUCCCACUUACCGCCCUGGGAAGACGCCUAAGUGGACCAGACAUUUCUCUUCUUUGUCUGUAAGACCAACCUCUUCUGCUCAGUUCACAAGGACACUUUAUUUCAUGGAAUGAUGUGUUGCCGGAUUCUAGGCUCAAAAUAAACCAAUUGAGAUCUUUAAA
Long non-coding RNA from Galeopterus variegatus (Sunda flying lemur), 207 nucleotides. RefSeq lists it as uncharacterized. NCBI's taxonomy places the organism in Eukaryota, Metazoa, Chordata, Mammalia, Dermoptera, Cynocephalidae. The transcript is spliced from 2 exons. The record is from RefSeq and is a predicted model, not a curated record.